Molecule: non-coding RNA, 914 nt
Organism: Microcebus murinus (gray mouse lemur)
Lineage: Eukaryota; Metazoa; Chordata; Mammalia; Primates; Cheirogaleidae
Source: RefSeq, a predicted model, not a curated record
AGCCAAUCCAGAGACCUAGAAGUAACAUUUUUAAAGGAAAAAAAAAAUCAAUUAAAGUUGCACUUUUAUAGAUUUUGGGUCUGGUUUUUUUUUUUUUUUUUUUUUUAGAAACAAAACCUAGUAAUUUUACCUUGAUGUUUGUUACUAAAUCCAUUCUUCAUUCCUGCUUUUCUUUAAAGGGUGGGAACCCAAGUUUAUAAACAUUUGUAGCAAAAUCUACCUCUGUGUAGUUGUGAAAAGGACGAAGAUCCAGGUAACAAUUUUUUAACCUAGAACUAAAAAAGCUAUAACAGAAGUGAUGUGUUGUUUUUUUUUAAACAGUCUUUCCAAUGGUUUUAACAAGCUUUUAAUUUAAAUCCUCUAAAGCUCUCAUAAUAAUUGAAAAAUACUGUGCUUCUCUACUACCUUAUGGAACCAGGGCAAAGAAGACUGAAAGAAGAUUAAAUUCUUCCACUCCACUACACUUGGACAGGCCAAAAGCUUAAAGAUUUUCUCAGACCUUCAAAAGUUACUGAAAUCUGCUGCCAACAUUUUCCAGAAAACCUGCCCAAUAAAAGUAUUUUCUUUGAAAGCUGGAAGGGAAAAGAGCAUUAAAAUGCUGAGCUGCCUGAGUUGUUACCUGGGAAUAGCUUCUUUAGGAUCUUCCAACGCAAACUGUGUGUGUUAAGUAGAGUGGUUCAGUUCAAUGCUGCUUGUGAAGAGGAAACACUUCUGAAAGAGUCAGGUAAACUCCGAGUCUGCUGCUUCCUUUUAGAAGUCAUAUCUAAAAUGACUUGCACAGAAGCCUAAAUGGCAGCCAUUAACAUCGAGAAAUAAAGGUUCAAAAGAUGCCUAAUGUGGCACUACCUUCAUUAGUAGAUGACAGAAAUGGCUUCAUUAGUAAAUGACUGAAAUUAAAAACUAUGUCAAACUGG